AGUCGAACGGGCUCUUCGGAGCAAGUGGCGGACGGGUGAGUAACGCGUGAGAAUGUGCCUUGAGGAUGGGGAUAACAAUAGGAAACUAAUGCUAAGACCCAAUGUGCCUUAAGUGGUGAAAAAUGAAAAUUGCCUGAAGAGGAGCUCGCGUCUGAUUAGCUAGUUGGGGUGGUAGAAGCGCACCAAGGCGACGAUCAGUAGCUGGUCUGAGAGGAUGAGCAGCCACACUGGGACUGAGACACGGCCCAGACUCCUACGGGAGGCAGCAGUGGGGAAUUUUCCGCAAUGGGCGAAAGCCUGACGGAGCAAUACCGCGUGAGGGAGGAAGGCUCUUGGGUUGUAAACCUCAAAACUUAGGGAAGAAAAAAAUGACGGUACCUGAUUUAAGCAUCGGCUAACUCCGUGCCAGCAGCCGCGGUAAUAC
Molecule: ribosomal RNA, 424 nt
Filed under: uncultured bacterium
Lineage: Bacteria
Description: bacterial SSU rRNA
Rfam family: Bacterial small subunit ribosomal RNA
Source: RNAcentral